RNAcentral lists this ribosomal RNA (468 nucleotides) under uncultured bacterium. Its description in RNAcentral is "partial 16S ribosomal RNA". It matches the Rfam family "Bacterial small subunit ribosomal RNA", at positions 28 to 507 of the family's 1533-position model. The record is from RNAcentral.
GACGAACGCUGGCGGCGUGCUUAACACAUGCAAGUCGAGCGGAAAGGCCCUGCUUUUGUGGGGUGCUCGAGUGGCGAGCGGGUGAGUAACACGUGAGUAACCUGCCCUUGACUUUGGGAUAACUUCAGGAAACUGGGGCUAAUACCGGAUAGGAGAUCCUGCUGCAUGGGGGGGGAUGGAAAGUUUCGGCGGUUGGGGAUGGACUCGCGGCUUAUCAGCUUGUUGGUGGGGUAGUGGCUUACAAAGGCUGUGACGGGUAGCCGGCCUGAGAGGGUGGCCGGCCACAUUGCGACUGCGAUACGGCCCAGACGCCUACGGGAGGCAGCAGUGGGGAACAUGGCACAAUGGGCGGAAGCGUGAGGCAGCAACGCCGCGUGCGGGAUGACGGCUUUCGGGGUGAAAACCGAUGUCGACGGAGACGAAGCGAGAGUGACGGUAACGGGUAAAGAAGCACCGGCUAACUACGUG